Molecule: ribosomal RNA, 371 nt
Filed under: uncultured fungus
Lineage: Eukaryota; Fungi
Description: eukaryotic LSU rRNA
Rfam family: 5.8S ribosomal RNA (bases 1-124)
Source: RNAcentral
GCAUCGAUGAAGAACGCAGCAAAGUGCGAUAAUUUGGGUGAACCGCAACUGGCGCGACUCCUUGAAACUUUGAACGCAAACUGUGCCCCGGCGUAACGGCCGGGGCGUGUUUGUUUGAGCGUCGCAUACAAAUACCUGCCGCCUCGCGCGCGCAACGAUGGGCUUUGCAAUUCGUUUUGCAUCGCUUCAAAUUCAUUUUCCCGUCGCACGGUGUAACCUGCAUCAGGCCGGCUGUCGUUGGGGGGCGUGACCGCUUCAUUUCGCAGACUGUCUUUUCGCAACUUCCGGCGGCGGGGGUUUUUUCACUAAUUUCUCGACCUCAAAUCAAGCACGAUUACCCGCUGAAUUUAAGCAUAUCAAUAAGCGGAGGA